UUUGAUCUUAAAAUACCAUCAUCAUUUAAGUGCAACCAUUAAGAAGAUAUUAAAACCAGAAUUUAUUUCCUUUUGAAUAAGAUGCUCAAAUACCAAGUGGUAUUCCACCCAAAUUCCCACAUAGAUUUUACAUAUACAUAUAUAUAUAGCUCAGAAUCACAAAAACAAGUAAGCAUAUAUUAUCACUUAAAAGCCUCAACCAACCAGCAAUUUACCCAUCAAUAAUCCACGCGAUAAUCACUAUAAUCAUCACGCCCAGCGAGGUCAUUCUCUACCCUGUCUGCGAUCUUCUCCUCUUCAUAUUUCAAUCCUUCUUCCAAUGCUAGUCCACCCAGAGUCCCAGCAACCGCGCCCACAGCCAAUCCUGUACCAAACCCCAUCUUCCCUCCUUUCUGUCUCUGAUCAUACGCUGAAUAAUCAACCGGCGCAGAAGGCCCACCGUAACUGCCAGUCCGAUCAAAGAUGGGUCUUGGCGGGGGUGGGGCCGAGGAGUAAUAUCCCGAAUAAUAAGAAGGAGGAUAACCAUCGUGAUAAGAUGAGUAUGGAGCAAGCGGGGGUGCGGGUGAGGACGAGAGAGGCGAUUGUAUUGUCGGCGCGAACCUGUAAUCACGCGGCGCAGGAGGUGAAGGCAUAGGGGCAGUGUUGUAAUAAUAGUUUUGUGAAGGGAUAAUAUGGUGGUAAUCAAAACCUGCCGGAGGCGGAGGAGGGGGUGGCAAAGGCCGUUCGCGUAAACCGAGCUUUACCCUGAUCUUCCCUUGAGGCCGACCAGAUGGGCGGGUCAGCUCAAAAGUUCGAAUCCGGGCCAAGUCAUCCGGGUAGGGCAGUUCCUUUAACGGUACCCGGAGAGUGCCGACAAGGGGUUUGGGGGUUUCGCUGGGCUUGGAGUGGAAGAUAUCGAGGGUAAGAUAGGAUUCCUGUAGAGGAAGAGGGAGAGGAAGCGUGAAGCGCUCGUUCCAAACGGGUUUGGUAGAACCGGAGUCAUCGGACUUGGUGGAGAGCCUCCGAUCGGGAUCCACCCAGAAGACGGCGUAGGCCUUGAGGUCGCCGUUUUUCCAGUUGACGUUCUUGAGGUGCUUGGCGGAAACUAUGGUUAGAUCGAGAUCGAGAAGCUUCGCCGAUGGCGGGCGAGAGGAGGCCAUGAUGCCAACGGGCACAGUGUUAGCCGGGAUAAGCAAAGGGAGAGGGGGGGAUGUGGCUAUGGGAGUAACAGAGUGGUUCUGUGGUUUGGGG
Molecule: unclassified non-coding RNA, 1230 nt
Filed under: Hevea brasiliensis (rubber tree)
Lineage: Eukaryota; Viridiplantae; Streptophyta; Magnoliopsida; Malpighiales; Euphorbiaceae
Source: RNAcentral